GAUGAAGAACGCAGCGAAAUGCGAUAAGUAAUGUGAAUUGCAGAAUUCAGUGAAUCAUCGAAUCUUUGAACGCACAUUGCGCCCGCCAGUAUUCUGGCGGGCAUGCCUGUCCGAGCGUCAUUUCAACCCUCGAACCCCUCCGGGGGGUCGGCGUUGGGGAUCGGCCCUGCCUCUGGCGGUGGCCGUCUCCGAAAUACAGUGGCGGUCUCGCCGCAGCCUCUCCUGCGCAGUAGUUUGCACACUCGCAUCGGGAGCGCGGCGCGUCCACAGCCGUUAAACACCCAACUACUGAAAUGUUGACCUCGGAUCAGGUAGGAAUACCCGCUGAACUUAAGCAUAUCAAUAAGCGGAGGA
This 354-nucleotide unclassified non-coding RNA is filed under the name soil metagenome. RNAcentral describes it as "partial contains 5.8S ribosomal RNA, internal transcribed spacer 2, and large subunit ribosomal RNA". The stretch from base 1 to 120 matches the Rfam family "5.8S ribosomal RNA", at positions 35 to 154 of the family's 154-position model. The record is from RNAcentral.